Molecule: ribosomal RNA, 189 nt
Filed under: Toxoplasma gondii ME49
Lineage: Eukaryota; Apicomplexa; Conoidasida; Eucoccidiorida; Sarcocystidae
Description: Toxoplasma gondii rRNA TGME49_460990
Source: RNAcentral
ACCUUGUUACGACUUCUCCUUCCUCUAAGUGUUAAGGUUCACAAAACUUCCCAUUUCGGGCACGAACGCGCCACAAAACGGUCCGAAUAAUUCACCGGAACACUCAAUCGGUAGGAGCGACGGGCGGUGUGUACAAAGGGCAGGGACGUAAUCGGCGCAAGCUGCUGACUUGCGCCUACUAGGCAUUCC